UACGUAGGGCGCAAGCGUUAUCCGGAAUUAUUGGGCGUAAAGAGCUUGUAGGCGGUCUGUCGCGUCUGCUGUGAAAAUCCGGGGCUCAACCCCGGACUUGCAGUGGGUACGGGCAGACUAGAGUGUGGUAGGGGAGACUGGAAUUCCUGGUGUAGCGGUGAAAUGCGCAGAUAUCAGGAGGAACACCGAUGGCGAAGGCAGGUCUCUGGGCCACUACUGACGCUGAGGAGCGAAAGCAUGGGGAGCGAACAGG
This 253-nucleotide ribosomal RNA is filed under the name uncultured bacterium. RNAcentral describes it as "partial 16S ribosomal RNA". It matches the Rfam family "Bacterial small subunit ribosomal RNA", at positions 524 to 776 of the family's 1533-position model. The record is from RNAcentral.